UAGGUGGACCUGGCUAUUUGUGGGACAGAUGCAGGGGAUUAACAUGGAUUGACAAGCGGUUUGGAGAUGUGCUUUAACCGAGUCACACUGAAGAAGUCAGAAGUGCAGCUGGCAAAACGCACUAUCAAAACUCAUUCAAGAAAACUGAUAUACUUAGUCCCUGUGUCUCAGGUCAUAGAAAAAAAAGUAUUUUGGAUUCAUCAGUGCAGAAAGAGGCAGUACUUCAGUGUGUGAAUUGGUCGGUAGCCCAAAACAUUACUAAAGCAAACCAAGCAAAGCCUGAGCGGAAAGCAUUAACAGUUCAGAGGUUGCCCUGAAAUCAAGCAGCAAGUAGGCACACACAUCUAGUGUCAUGUUUGCUGCACAAAAGUAUAUGCUAUUUUCAGCAGAAACAACACAAAACAAAGCAUAGGAUAUACCCAGUAGUGUAUUCAGUCUAUAAUGCUUAGAUUUCCUGCUCACGUAUUGCCCUUGCAAGCAAGCAGCAUUACCUGCAGUAGCACUAGGCAAAACUCCCAAACAGGCUUCACAAGCUCCCAUAAGGAAGAGAGUUGCUUCAGUUUCUUAUAAACAUGGUGAUAUGCAGAUUAACUGAAUUGACUGGAGAAGUCAGAAGUAGGGUCAUUAAAGAUUAAUUUCAAAAUGUACAGUUCGUGGUAAAAACAACCAGAGAAAAGUGCAUUCCUUAUCAUUUUGUGUAUUAGUGUUCUCUCUUGUGCUGAAUUACAGGCUGCAUCCCAAAUCUUCAGUGAAGUAACCUAAACAGGAAUCCAUGACAGUUAGUUAGUUAGUAGAUGAGUUUCAUUGGUGACAGUUUUGCUGCACAGUAGUUUAUGUUGUUUAUGGGAAAAACAAUCCAUAAAAUGUUCCCAGGAGGAUGCUUAAUCUAUAAAAUAGUGAAGUAAUGUUUAUAUUUCCUGCUUGGUUGUGAUUCUCCCAAACUAACAUUAGUUUUUAAAUGGAUAACAAAUGGCAAACUUCAGCAACACAUUGUUUAGUACAGACUCCAUAACAACCAAAUUUUGAUAAAUAAAGUAGUUAUUUUGGUUUAUUAUAAAGUUAGUAAUAUAUAAACAUUUGAUGAAAUAAGCCCCAAAAGAACACACAAACAGCAGACCUAAGAUGUAGCUCACCCUAAAUUCUUCUAUCAAUGAGCUCCUCCUCUUUAGGCAGUUCUUACCUAUUUCACUAUUUACAUGCCAACCAAUACUUUUAGAUUCCUGAUGUUUUUCUCUGCCCUGCAUAGUUCCAUGUGGAUUCUGCAUGAAUUAAUUGAGUGUUAACAGAAGCAUACUUGUAUCUGGAUACUUUGCAAUUAUUAUCAUUUCUUGUUGCUCUUAAGUUAUAAGGUACUUGCAGUUUUUUAUUGUUUCUGUAUUUAUGAAAUUAGAUUUAGACUGCUUUAACAGUUUCAUUACAUACUCUUAUUCUCAGAUUUAUUCUGCAGGCAUGUAAUUGUAUAACCACGGAUGGAAUUCAUAGUCAAGUAGCGCAUACUAAAGCUGUACUUAGUAGCUAUGGGAAGGAUGCAGGGAUUCAAAAACAGUGAGUAAUGCAUUGUCUGCAGAGCCAUGAACCACACUCCCCAUAAAGAGAACUACAAAAUUUUAAAACUGUACACCUACUCAGCAUGUCUUUGAAUCCCAGCCCAUAUUACUUGUAUUGUUAUGUUACUCUAUAUUUGUUCAUUGAUGUAAUGGUUUUCUACCCAGACCUUUACUGUAAAUGAUUGUGCCCAGUUGGAUCUUCCUGGUAAACAAACAUCUUGUUGCCCAUAAAAAAAAAAGAAAUAAAUGUAUUAUUGUUAUUAUA
Molecule: long non-coding RNA, 1812 nt
Organism: Protopterus annectens (West African lungfish)
Lineage: Eukaryota; Metazoa; Chordata; Ceratodontiformes; Protopteridae
Exons: 2
Source: RefSeq, a predicted model, not a curated record